GAUCAUGGCUCAGGAUGAACGCUAGCGACAGGCUUAACACAUGCAAGUCGAGGGGCAGCGGGGAGUAGCAAUACUCUGCCGGCGACCGGCGCACGGGUGAGUAACGCGUAUCCAACCUGCCGUCUACUCUUGGACAGCCUUCUGAAAGGAAGAUUAAUACAAGAUGGCAUCAUGAGUUCACAUGUUCACAUGAUUAAAGGUAUUCCGGUAGACGAUGGGGAUGCGUU
Molecule: ribosomal RNA, 227 nt
Filed under: uncultured bacterium
Lineage: Bacteria
Description: partial 16S ribosomal RNA
Rfam family: Bacterial small subunit ribosomal RNA
Source: RNAcentral